Pelobates cultripes (western spadefoot toad) is the source of this 222-nucleotide non-coding RNA. The record is from the annotation of a GenBank genome assembly. NCBI's taxonomy places the organism in Eukaryota, Metazoa, Chordata, Amphibia, Anura, Pelobatidae.
CUUGCCUCUAUUUUAUUCUCCUGAUUCAUCACCUUUCCUUCCACAAGCCUUGUGUAUGCACAGUACAAGCCCCUUUUGCUUCUGACUGCUGGGCUAAUUUUUUCAGCAAUUUGCACGUGUGAGAAGUACAUCUUGCGGCUGUAUAUGGGUAGACGAUGUCAAAGACGAAUUGUCACUGUGGCACAAGGAAACAAAUAACCUGUGCCAUGAUCAUGGAUGAAA